GUCGUACGCGUCUUGGUUAUUGAUGUUAGAUGCUUGCAUUUAACUGAUUUAACAUUGAGACGAGUGGCGAACUGGUGAGUAACACGUGGGUAACCUGCCCUUGAAGUAGGGGAUAACACUUGGAAACAGGUGCUAAUACCGUAUAACAACCAAAACCACCUGGUUUUGGUUUAAAAGAUGGCUUCGGCUAUCACUUUAGGAUGGACCCGCGGCGUAUUAGCUUGUUGGUAAGGUACGGCCUACCAAGGCAAUGAUACGUAGCCGACCUGAGAGGGUAAUCGGCCACAUUGGGACUGAGACACGGCCCAAACUCCUACGGGAGGCAGCAGUAGGGAAUCUUCCACAAUGGACGAAAGUCUGAUGGAGCAACGCCGCGUGAGUGAUGAAGGGUUUCGGCUCGUAAAACUCUGUUGUUGGAGAAGAACAGGUGUGAGAGUAACUGUUCACAUCUUGACGGUAUCCAACCAGAAAGCCACGGCUAACUACGUGCCAGCAGCCGCGGUAAUACGUAGGUGGCAAGCGUUGUCCGGAUUUAUUGGGCGUAAAGCGAGCGCAGGCGGUUUCUUAGGUCUGAUGUGAAAGCCUUCGGCUUAACCGGAGAAGUGCAUCGGAAACCAGGAGACUUGAGUGCAGAAGAGGACAGUGGAACUCCAUGUGUAGCGGUGAAAUGCGUAGAUAUAUGGAAGAACACCAGUGGCGAAGGCGGCUGUCUGGUCUGUAACUGACGCUGAGGCUCGAAAGCAUGGGUAGCGAACAGGAUUAGAUACCCUGGUAGUCCAUGCCGUAAACGAUGAGUGCUAAGUGUUGGAGGGUUUCCGCCCUUCAGUGCUGCAGCUAACGCAUUAAGCACUCCGCCUGGGGAGUA
RNAcentral lists this ribosomal RNA (865 nucleotides) under uncultured bacterium. RNAcentral describes it as "bacterial SSU rRNA". It matches the Rfam family "Bacterial small subunit ribosomal RNA", at positions 32 to 882 of the family's 1533-position model. The record is from RNAcentral.